This is a long non-coding RNA of Haliotis rubra (blacklip abalone), 110 nucleotides long. RefSeq lists it as uncharacterized. The record is from RefSeq and is a predicted model, not a curated record. Lineage: Eukaryota; Metazoa; Mollusca; Gastropoda; Lepetellida; Haliotidae. The transcript is spliced from 3 exons.
UAACUACAUAGGUUGCAUUGUGCAUGGCAAAACAUGGUGUGAACAGUGUAAAUUGAUAAUUUUAACAUCUUAGAUGCAUUGCAUGAUAACUGAAGCUGGCUGAAUUAUUA